GACCCAAACUACAUAGAAAGGUACAGGAGACUGAACCCAUUUACUUUUGCAAGAGAAUCCUCUUUUGAAGAUGUCCAGUACUGGUUGGCAGAGACGGAGAAGGUCUUCAAGACCCUAGGGGGUGACUCCUGAGCAGAGGGUCACCCUUGCUACCUACAUGCUGAUGGGAGAAGCAGACCGCUGGUGGGAACUCAAGCAGACCACCCUGCCUAUUCUAGUUACUUGGGAACAGUUCCCA
RNAcentral lists this long non-coding RNA (238 nucleotides) under Carica papaya (papaya). Its description in RNAcentral is "long non-coding RNA (CPAP_LNC004468)". The record is from RNAcentral. Lineage: Eukaryota; Viridiplantae; Streptophyta; Magnoliopsida; Brassicales; Caricaceae.